This 131-nucleotide unclassified non-coding RNA is filed under the name Frankliniella occidentalis (western flower thrips). RNAcentral describes it as "partial contains large subunit ribosomal RNA (rrnL); may also contain tRNA-Leu (trnL)". The record is from RNAcentral. Lineage: Eukaryota; Metazoa; Arthropoda; Insecta; Thysanoptera; Thripidae.
UUUCUAUCUUCAUAAUAGAGGUUUUUAUAGUACGAAAGGACCUAAAAACUUAAUUUUAUUAAUUAAUUAGCUUAUAAAAAGCAAGUAUUUUGAAAAUACUAGAAAGAUUUAAGAAUUUAUUAAUUUUAUGU